GAACGGCAGCACAGGGAGCUUGCUCCCGGGUGGCGAGUGGCGCACGGGUGAGUAAUACAUCGGAACGUGUCCUGUUGUGGGGGAUAACUGCUCGAAAGGGUGGCUAAUACCGCAUGAGACCUGAGGGUGAAAGCGGGGGAUCGCAAGACCUCGCGCAAUUGGAGCGGCCGAUGCCCGAUUAGCUAGUUGGUGAGGUAAAGGCUCACCAAGGCGACGAUCGGUAGCUGGUCUGAGAGGACGACCAGCCACACUGGGACUGAGACACGGCCCAGACUCCUACGGGAGGCAGCAGUGGGGAAUUUUGGACAAUGGGGGCAACCCUGAUCCAGCCAUGCCGCGUGCAGGAUGAAGGCCUUCGGGUUGUAAACUGCUUUUGUCAGGGACGAAAAGGACCGUGUUAAUACCAUGGUCUGCUGACGGUACCUGAAGAAUAAGCACCGGCUAACUACGUGCCAGCAGCCGCGGUAAUACGUAGGGUGCAAGCGUUAAUCGGAAUUACUGGGCGUAAAGCGUGCGCAGGCGGUUCUGUAAGACAGAUGUGAAAUCCCCGGGCUUAACCUGGGAAUUGCAUUUGUGACUGCAGGACUAGAGUUCAUCAGAGGGGGGUGGAAUUCCAAGUGUAGCAGUGAAAUGCGUAGAUAUUUGGAAGAACACCAAUGGCGAAGGCAGCCCCCUGGGAUGCGACUGACGCUCAUGCACGAAAGCGUGAGGAGCAAACAGGAUUAGAUACCCUGGUAGUCUGCGCCCUAAACGAUGUCUACUGGUUGUUGGGGUUUUUUAACCUUGG
RNAcentral lists this ribosomal RNA (787 nucleotides) under uncultured bacterium. RNAcentral describes it as "bacterial SSU rRNA". It matches the Rfam family "Bacterial small subunit ribosomal RNA", at positions 64 to 843 of the family's 1533-position model. The record is from RNAcentral.